This 265-nucleotide ribosomal RNA is filed under the name uncultured prokaryote. RNAcentral's name for it is "partial 16S ribosomal RNA". It matches the Rfam family "Bacterial small subunit ribosomal RNA", at positions 524 to 788 of the family's 1533-position model. The record is from RNAcentral.
UACGUAGGGGCAAGCGUUAUCCGGAUUUACUGGGUGUAAAGGGAGCGCAGACGGAACUGCAAGUCUGAUGUGAAAGCCCGGGGCUCAAACCGCGGGACUGCAUCGGAUACUGUAGAUCUGGAGUGCCGGAGGGGCAAGCGGAAUUCCUGGUGUAGCGGUGAAAUGCGUAGAUAUCAGGAGGAACACCGGCGGAGAAGGCGGCUUGCUGGACGGCAACUGACGUUGAGGCUCGAAAGCGUGGGGAGCAAACAGGAUUAGAUACCCG